Molecule: non-coding RNA, 18366 nt
Organism: Podarcis lilfordi (Lilford's wall lizard)
Lineage: Eukaryota; Metazoa; Chordata; Lepidosauria; Squamata; Lacertidae
Source: the annotation of a GenBank genome assembly
GCUUAUUUCAAUUCGCAUGGGGUUUUAUGGGUGUGCACCAGAAUCACCCCCAACCAAAGCAAAAAGGUCUUUUGGGUUCCAGCUACAUAAAAAGAAGAUGAUAAAGCUCUGAUUGGGCUUAUUUCAAAUUGGUGUUUUUGGGGUUAGAAUGCACAUUCACCCAAAAAUCGCAUUGUGACAUGUUUAUUAUCAGGCCAAACCAAGCAUAGGUGUUUUGGUUCCAUCUCAAUAGAAAGAGGACGAAUAAGCUUGCAUUGUUCUUUCGGUGUUCAGUCCCCCACAAAUAGCAAAGCAAAGUGUAAUAAGCCAAAACAAAGCCAAACAGGUUGUUUUGGGUUGCAGCAACAUAGAAAGAAGAAUCUUGCAUUUUGCUUAUUUCGUGUUCUUUGGUGUUAAUGCACAUUGACCCAGAAAUCGCAAAGUGUGUGUAAUGAGACCAAAAUAACACAACUGACUUUUCGCUUCCAUAUGCGUAGAAAGAAGACAAAUAAGCCUUGAUUGUGCUUAUUUCAAUUCGCAUGGGGUUUUAUGGGUGUGCACGAGAAUCACCCCCAACCAAAGGACAGUUUUGCCUUCCAACUACAUAAAAAGAAGAUGAUAAAGCUCUCAUUGGGCUUAUUUCAAAUUGGUGUUUUUGGGGUUAGAAUGCACAUUCACCCAAAAAUCGCAGAGUGACAUGUCGGUUAUCAGCUCAAACCAAGCAUACGUGUUUUGGUUCCAUCUCAAUAGAAAGAGGACGAAUAAGCUUGCAUUGUUCUUUCGGUGUUCAGUCCCCACAAAUAGCAAAGCAAAGUGUAAUAAGCCAAACAAAGCCAAACAGGUUGUUUUGGGUUGCAGCAACAUAGAAAGAAGAAUCUUGCAUUUUGCUUAUUUCGUCGUGUUCUUUGGUGUUAAUGCUCAUUGACCAAGAAAUCGCAAAGUGUGUGUAAGGAGAACAAAAUCACACAUUGUCUUUUCGCUUCCAUAUGCGUAGAAAGAAGACAAAUAAGCUUUGAUUGUGCUUAUUUCAAUUUGCAUGGGGUUUUAUGGGUGUGCACCAGAAUCACCCCCAACCAAAGCACAGUUUUGGCUUCCAACUACAUAAAAAGAAGAUGACAAAGCUCUGAUUGGGCUUAUUUGAAUGGUGUUUUUGGGGUUAGAAUGCACAAUCACCCAAAAAUCGCAGAGUGACAUGUUUGUUAUCAGCUCAAACCAAGCAUACGUGUUUUGGUUCCAUCUCAAUAGAAAGAGGACGAAUAAGCUUGCAUUGUUCUUUCGGUGUUCAUUCACUCACAAAUAGCAAAGCGAAUUGUAAUAAGCCUAAACAAAGCCAAACAGGUUGUUUUGGGUUGCAGCAACAUAGAAAGAAGAAUCUUGGAUUUUGCUUAUUACGUGUUCUUUGGAGUUAAUGCACAUUCACCCAGAAAUCGCAAAGUGUGUAAUGAGACCAAAACAACACAACACUGUCUUUUCGCUUCCAUAUGCCUAGAAAGAAGACAAAUAAGCUUUGAUUGUGCUUAUUUCAAUUCGCAUGGGGUUUUAUGGGUGUGCACCAGAAUCACUCCCAAGCAAAGUACAGUUUUGGCUUACAUCUACAUAAAAAGAAGAUGAUAAAGCUCUGACUGGGCUUGUUUCAAAUUGGUGUUUUGGGGGUUAGAAUGCACAUUCAGCCAAAAAUCGCAGACAUGUUUAUUAUCAGACCGAUCCAAGCAUAGGUGUUUUUGUUCCAUCUCAAUAGAAAGAGGACGAAUAAGCUUGCAUUGUUCUUUCUGUGUUCGCUCCCCCACAAAUAGCAAUGCAAAGUGUAAUAAGCCUAAAGAAAGCCAAACAGGUUGUUUUGGGUUGCAGCAACAUAGAAAGAAGAAUCUUGGAUUUUGCUUAUUACGUGUUCUUUGGUGUUAAUGCACAUUGACCCAGAAAUCGCAAAGUGUGUGUAAGGAGACCAAAAUAACACAACAUUGUCUUUUCGCUUCCAUAUGCGUAGAAAGAAGACAAAUAAGCUUUGAUUGUGCUUUUUUCAAUUCGCAUGGGGUUUUAUGGGAGUGCACCAGAAUCACCCCCAACCAAAGCAAAAAGGGCUUUUGGGUUCCAGCUACAUAAAAAGAAGAUGAUAAUGCUCUCAUUGGGCUUAUUUCAAAUUGGUGUUUUUGGGGUUAGAAUGCACAAUCACCCAAAAAUCGCAGAGUGACAUGUCGGUUAUCAGCUCAAACCAAGCAUACGUGUUUUGGUUCCAUCUCAAUAGAAAGAGGACGAAUAAGCUUGCAUUGUUCUUUCAGUGUUCAGUCCCCCACAAAUAGCAAAGCAAGGUGUGAUAAGCCUAAACAAAGCCAAACAGGUUGUUUUGGGUUGCAGCAACAUAGAAAGAAGAAUAUUGGAUUUUGCUUAUUUCGUGUUCUUUGGUGUUAAUGCUCAUUGACCAAGAAAUCGCAAAGUGUGUGUAAGGAGAACAAAAUCACACAACAUUGUCUUUUCGCUUCCAUAUGCGUAGAAAGAAGACAAAUAAGCUUUGAUUGUGCUUAUUUCAAUUUGCAUGGGGUUUUAUGGGUGUGCACCAGAAUCACCCCCAAGCAAAGCAAAAAGGGCUUUUGGGUUCCAGCUACAUAAAAAGAAGAUGAUAAAGCUCUGAUUGGGCUUAUUUCAAAUUGGUGUUUUUGGGGUUAGAAUGCACAUUCACCCAAAAAUCGCAUUGUGACAUGUUUAUUAUCAGGCCAAACCAAGCAUAGGUGUUUUGGUUCCAUCUCAAUAGAAAGAGGACGAAUAAGCUUGCUGUCAGAGCUGGCUCCAGGUCCCAGCUCACAGAGGACCAACGCUAGCCGGCAGUAAUGUGCAAAAGUCUUUAUUGAAGUACAGUUUCCAUUUUCAAGCCGGAGCGCCCCAGCUCUACGUCUAGGGGUUAGAUCGGCGAAGCUCCAUCUGAGUCUCCGCCCCUGUACACCAGUUUAAGAUUCUAGCCUUACUCCACCUCUUACGUCUCUCCUUUCUCCUCUGGGUCCUGCUACCCCCCGGGGUCCCUUCCUUCCUGGAUUCUUCUGACGCUGACCCUCCUGACUCCUCCCCCUCUUUUCGGCGGGCUUUGGGACCUGGCUCCCUAUCCGGGCUGCCAACUGCGCCGCCCUCCUGUACAUUUGAACUUGGCGCGCGCCCAGCCUUCAACCUUCCUCUCGACCGUUUCCUCGCUCCCCGAUGGAGGCGUGGCCAAUCCUGACUCAUGUCCUCCCACUGGCAGUGCGCCGCCUGAUCCCGAUGCCUGGGACUCCUCCCCCCCUACUGCACUCUGGUGUGGACGCUGGUCCUGAUUUCCAACUGCUGCUCUCUGAGUCCCCUCUGGCCCCUUCUUCCUGGGGUGUCCCCUCGGCACCCCCUUGCUCUGACCAAGGGAGCCCCUUUCUGUGAAUCUUCCGAUUCGCUGGAAAGACUCAGAGACCUCGGACCGCUGUCAUCGCUAACAUUUCCUUCGGACUCCUCCCCUCGCUCUCUAUUUCCUCCCUUUCCUGUGCCUCUGCUCCUGAACCCCUGACAUCCAUCCCCCUCGAAGCCCCCCUUCCCCCUCCCCUCCUUCAGGUGUGGGUACUGGGUGCUCCGUCGUUGUGGGGGUGAGUGCCGGAUACAGUUCGUCCCCGUGGCGUGCAUCCAGCCGGAUAAGUCCGGCUCGUCCUCCGUGCUCUCGCCGACCUCAAUUUCCUCUGCUUCCAUCUCUUUGCCGCCGUGCUCGAACCCAAGGUCCUCCCCCAACACGUCCAUGUCCGUCUCUCCCCGGUCUCCUCCGGGGACGUUGCCUGCCAAGGACCCCCCAACCACUUCCUGCGCCACUGCUCCUCUGGUUGAUUGUCCCACCAAUAGGAACGGUCUGAGGCAGACCCCGAGGGUGAUCCCUCCGGGGAACGUGUUUCUAGUGCCGGUUCCUCGUCCGAGGUGAACCCCUGGAAUGUGCUAGCUGAAAAUGUGGGUGUGAAAAGCCAGUCGUCGAAAUACUCGGCUGGCAUGGGCCUGUGUGGGAAAAGGGCAUGGAACUCGUCCUUAAGCCAAGAUUCCUCCAGAGCAUAAUCUGGCACCCAACUGUUGGCGCUAGCCGAGGUACCUUCCUUGGCGAGGAGGUAUUCCACUCCCUCCUCCCCCAUCUCGAGUCUAAAAUCUCUGUGACUUCGUUGACGGGUUCCCGCCUUGGCGACCCCCUUGUGGGCGUUUCCCUGAACGGGUCUGGUGCCGUUCCUGGCUCCUGAAAUCUAUGAGGUGCUUUGUAGGGCGUGAGCACUGAUCUAUGGAAAACUGGGUGCAUUCUGGAUCCCUCCGGCAGUGUCAACCGGAAGGCCACUGGAUUGACCUGUGCCUCGACUUGGUAGGGUCCUAGCUGCUUAUGCCCUAGCUUCUUCUUCGCUAACGAUCUGGCCGGCACUGCCUGGGCUGCUAACCAAACCCAGUCUCCCACCUGUAUGUCUUCCCCAACCCUUCUGUGCUUGUCAGCCUGCAGUUUGUAUGCGUGCUUUGCUAGUUCUAACUGCCUCCGAAGCUGUUCGUGAACCUCCUGCAACUCUGAUGCUAAGGCUUCCGCUGCCUGUGGCUCCCCCUCCCCCUCUCUCGCUAAUCCCGGGAAGGUUCUGGGAUGCCUCCCGUUGUUGGCGAAGAACGGUGUCACCCCCGUGGACACGUGCUUCGUGUUGUUGUAGGCGAACUCAGCGAGCGGCAGGUAGUCCACCCAUGUUGCCGGCUGCUGAUUUGCGUAGCAUCUCAGGUACUGCUGCAUGAUGGCGUUGACUCGCUCCGCUUGUCCGUUCGUCUGCGGGUGUCUCGCCGACGCUAGGUUGAUCUUGACGUUCAGGAAACCCAUCAGCUUCUGCCAGAAGUUCGAGAUGAACUGUCGCCCCCGGUCGGACAGGAUAGACCGUGGCAGACCGUGAACCCUGAACACGUGGUCUAUGAACAGUUUGGCGGUCUGUUCCGCCGUGGCCACCUUCGCGCACGGAAUGAAGUGGGCCAUUUUGGUGAACAUGUCCACCACCACUAGCACUGCCGUCUUGCCCCUCGAGCUGGGUAGAUCCGUGACAAAGUCCAGGGCCACCCUCUCCCACGGUUCGAUCGGUGUCUGCAGCGGUUCGAGCAGUCCCGCCGGCGGUUUGUGCACUGACUUGGCCCUUUGGCAGGUGUCGCACCUCGAGACGUAAUCCGCGACUUCCCCCGCAUCUUGGGCCACCAAAAAUCUCUGGCUACUAAUUCUACCGUCUUCUCUUUGCCAAAGUGCCCGGCGGUGGGUGCGUCGUGCAACUGCUGCAGUACUUUCGCGCGGAGGUCGUCUCCCGGUACGUAGAGGGCCCCUCUGCGGAUGAGCAAUCCGUCGCGUAUCUGGAACUCGUCGUCCUCCGCCGUGCCCCUUUGCACCUCUGCCAUCUUUGCUUGCGCGAAGGGGUCCUCCUGCAGUGCUCGACGUACAGCAUCCAGGUCCACGGUUGCUGAAGCGCACGCCCACGCUUUCGGUGCGAAAAUGUGCUUGGCCGCUGCUGGUGCCGCCUCCUCGAGGUAUUGCGGCUUUCUGGACAGUGCAUCCGCCAUGAUGUUGUUGUCGCCUGGGAUGUACUCUAUCCUGAAGUCGAAAUCCGCAAAGAACUCCGCCCAUCGUAUGUGCCUCUGGUUCAGGAACCUUGCCGUGCGCCAGUACUCCAGGUUUUUAUGGUCCGUGCGGACCUGCACUGUGUGUUUGGCUCCAAUGAGGAAGUGCCGCCACGCCUUGAAUGCUGCAUGAAUGGCCAGCAACUCCCUGUCCCAGAUGGUGUAGUUCUGCUCUGACUUGCUGAGCUUCCUGGAGUAGAAGGCACACGGUCUCCAGUCCCCAUGCGGGUCUUGCUGCAACAGUACUGCUCCCACGGCUCUGUCUGAGGCGUCCGUUUCAACCCUCAUCGGUCUGCUGGGAUUCACAUGCAGUAGCUGCUCUUCGGACGAGAAGAGACGCUUGAGUUUCUGAAAGGACUGUUCCGCUUGCUCCGUCCAGAUGAACUUCUUCUUCUUGGAGCUGAGUGUGUCGGUAAUGGCUGCCGUCUGCAUCGCGAACCCCUUGAUGAACUUGCGGUAAAAGUUGGCGAAACCGACAAACCGUUGGACCUCCUUCCGAUUGCGCGGGCUCUUCCAGUCCAACACUGAGCGAACCUUGGCGCUGUCCAUGGCGAGCCCCUUGUCCGACAACUUGUAGCCCAGGAAAUCUACUUCCUUCAUGUCGAACUGGCACUUUUCCAGCUUGGCGUACAGCCUGUGCUCCUGCAGUCUCUGCAGAACUUCCUUGACGUCUCCCUCGUGGGCCUCCUCUGAUUCUGAAAAUAUCAGGAUGUCGUCCAGGAAGCAGACGCAUUUCUUGUAGAGGAGACCCGCCAAUACGUGAUGCAUGAAGGCUUGAAAACAGUGGGAGCCAUUUUGUAAUCCAAAGGGCAUAACUCUGUAUUCAUAGGUGCCCAGGGGCGUGAACAUGGCAGUCUUCCAUUCGUCGCCCUCCCGCAUGCGAAUCAGGUUGUACGCCCUCGCAGAUCCAACUUUGUGAAAACGCGUCCUUUCCUCACCGUUGCGAGCAGGUCAUCUAUCUUGGGCAUGGGAAAGGCUGUGGGCUUGGUUUUGAGUUCAAAAUUCUAUAGUCCACCACAAGCCUUUUUGGGGCGUGUCCUUCUUCUUCACAAAGAAUACAGGACUGCCCCCACUGCCUUCGACUCCCGGAUGAAACCGCGCUUCAAGUUGAGGUCUAUGAACUCCUGAGUUCCUGCAGCUCGUCUUCGGACAUGGAAUACAGUUUCCCGGUUGGCAGCGUCGCCCUGGCAGGAGGUCAAUCUUGCAGUCAUAAGACCUGUGGGGAGGUAGCUUGUCCGCUUCCUUCUCGCAGAAAACCUCCAAAAACGCUGCGUACUUGAGUGGCACUGCUUGCAGCGUGCCUAAUUGUAGCUGCGGGUCAUCCUCUUCCCCUUCCGGGCUAGGCAGAAUGCAAUGUUCCGCACAGUAUGAGGAGCCGAAGGUCAGUUGUCGCUGGUACCACGCCAAUGCUGGGCUGUGCCUGUGCAGCCAACUCAUGCCUAAUACUAUAGGCGUGUCCGACAGUUGGGUGACAUUGAAGCUGAUGACUUCUCGGUGAUUCCCAAUUUGCAUCACCAUCGGAGGCGUUUGCUGCACCACCUGCCCACCCAGCAAUUCCCUGCCAUCCACCGUGACAACUUUCAGAGGCAGCGUGGCUGGCAGGAGUGCUAUGUUGUGCUCUUGAAGGAAAUCCAGUCCUAUGAAGUCUGCGUUACUACCAGAGUCAAUGGUAAUCGGCACUUCCAUAGUGAGUCCAUUGGGUAGUUGGAGCGAUGCUGUGAGCUGCACCACUGGUUUGGGCGGGAGGGGGUCUGUGGGCUGCAAAAUCUCUGGGGACGGCUUCAUUGACUUGUCUGGUUGGGCCCCAGUGCCUCUUCCUCCAACCAGACUCUGUCGUUUCCCUGCUGUGUUUCUCUCUGCUGAGUUGCUUCUGUUACUGUUGCUGAGGCUGCAGUGUGCUUGUGGAGCCUCUGGGGACACUCUUUCGCCAUGUGCUGAGCACUGUCGCAGAUGUAGCACUUCCUGUUCCCUCUAGGAGGCUUCGCUUUGACUGCUCCCGGUGUUAAGGCUCUGGUUGUUGACUGAGCCCUGGCGCCUCCAAUCUCCAUCGGUUGCUCUCCCCUCCUUGCGGAGGUGGGGAUUGCACACGCGCUGUAUCCUUGGGAAAGAGGGGAGGUGCUCUCACUGGCGUACGUCCCCAACGUCCUUCUUCUCUGUUCCAUGGACGUUCUUCCAGACGCACCCCAAUUUGCAGCGCCCGCCGGACAACCUCCUGAGUGCUCUUUGGUCUCUCCCCCCUUGCAAUCUCAUCUUUCACAUUUGCAUUCAAGCCUUCCCAAAAAGGUCUCUGACUGGGGCAGAAUCCUUCUCCCAUCCCAGCGCAUGGACUAAUGCAAAAAGCGGGAAUGGUACUGCCUUACACUGGCUCUGCCUUGUUUGAGCCCAUGUAUGUCUUUUCUGGCGAUAUCAAUGUCUAUAUUUGAUAAAAAACACGAAUCCAUCGCUUUAAUGAAUGCAUCCGCAUUUUGGAGCGCCGGAUCCUUAUCUCUCCACAGAUUGCGCAGCCACGCUUUAGCUUCCCCAUGCAAAUGGGACAAGAUAAACCCCACCUUCUCUUGCUCAUCUCUAAAGUCUUUAUCCAGCAGUUCCAGCGCAAACAGCACGUCUGCUCGGAAGUUAGGGUACUGCUGCAAAUUCCCAUCGAAAUGAGAUACCAGGCUGCCUCCUCUUUUCCCCAGCCCAAUCCCCUCUGAUUUGGGUCCCGGUUGCCCCUGCUUAGCAAGCACUUCCAACCUGGCUUGGAGAUCCCUGCAGGCGGCAGCCGCUUCCUCUUCCCUUUUCCUGGAUGCGAGUACCUCCGCGUUGAGUUGUGUCACUGCAUUUUGCAGGGCUGCUAGUUGCUGUUCUGUAGUCAUCUUGCCUGACUUUUGUGAGCUCGCAAAGCACCAAUCUUCUUCCCACGCUGCGUCCACUCACGUUACGAGGUUUUUGGUGCAAAACUUUAAGAGAUGGAGCUUACUGUCAGAGCUGGCUCCAGGUCCCAGCUCACAGAGGACCAACGCUAGCCGGCAGUAAUGUGCAAAAGUCUUUAUUGAAGUACAGUUUCCAUUUUCAAGCCGGAGCGCCCCAGCUCUACGUCUAGGGGUUAGAUCGGCGAAGCUCCAUCUGAGUCUCCGCCCCCUGUACACCAGUUUAAGAUUCUAGCCUUACUCCACCUCUUACGUCUCUCCUUUCUCCUCUGGGUCCUGCUACCCCCCGGGGUCCCUUCCUUCCUGGAUUCUUCUGACGCUGACCCUCCUGACUCCUCCCCCUCUUUUCGGCGGGCUUUGGGACCUGGCUCCCUAUCCGGGCUGCCAACUGCGCCGCCCUCCUGUACAUUUGAACUUGGCGCGCGCGCCCAGCCUUCAACCUUCCUCUCGACCGUUUCCUCGCUCCCCGAUGGAGGCGUGGCCAAUCCUGACUCAUGUCCUCCCACUGGCAGUGCGCCGCCUGAUCCCGAUGCCUGGGACUCCUCCCCCCUACUGCACUCUGGUGUGGACGCUGGUCCUGAUUUCCAACUGCUGCUCUCUGAGUCCCCUCUGGCCCCUUCUUCCUGGGGUGUCCCCCUCGGCACCCCCCUUGCUCUGACCACGGGAGCCCCUUUCUGUGAAUCUUCCGAUUCGCUGGAAAGACUCAGAGACCUCGGACCGCUGUCAUCGCUAACAUUUCCUUCGGACUCCUCCCCCUCGCUCUCUAUUUCCUCCCUUUCCUGUGCCUCUGCUCCUGAACCCCUGACACUUGCAUUGUUCUUUCGGUGUUCAGUCCCCCACAAAUAGCAAAGCAAAGUGUAAUAAGCCAAAACAAAGCCAAACAGGUUGUUUUGGGUUGCAGCAACAUAGAAAGAAGAAUCUUGCAUUUUGCUUAUUUCGUGUUCUUUGGUGUUAAUGCACAUUGACCCAGAAAUCUCAAAGUGUGUGUAAUGAGACCAAAAUAACACAACAUGGUCUUUUCGCUUCCAUAUGCCUAGAAAGAAGACAAAUAAGCUUUGAUUGUGCUUAUUUCAAUUCGCAUGGGGUUUUAUGGGUGUGCACCAGAAUCACGCCCAACCAAAACAAGCUUGGAAGCCAAGGUGUUUUGGCUUCCAACUACAUAAAAAGAAGCUUAUAAAGCUCUCAUUGGGCUUAUUUCAAAUUGGUGUUUUUGGGGUUAGAAUGCACAAUCACGCAAAAAUCGCAGUGACAUGUUUAUUAUCAUCCCAAACCAAGCAUAUGUGUUUUGGUUCCAUCUCAAUAGAAAGAGGACGAAUAAGCUUGCAUUGUUCUUUCGGUGUUCAGUCCCCCACAAAUAGCAAAGCAAAGUGUAAUAAGCCAAACAAAGCCAAACAGGUUGUUUUGGGUUGCAGCAACAUAGAAAGAAGAAUCUUGCAUUUUGCUUAUUUCGUCGUGUUCUUUGGUGUUAAUGCUCAUUGACCAAGAAAUCGCAAAGUGUGUGUAAGGAGAACAAAAUCACACAUUGUCUUUUCGCUUCCAUAUGCGUAGAAAGAAGACAAAUAAGCUUUGAUUGUGCUUAUUUCAAUUUGCAUGGGGUUUUAUGGGUGUGCACCAGAAUCACCCCCAACCAAAGCACAGUUUUGGCUUCCAACUACAUAAAAAGAAGAUGACAAAGCUCUGAUUGGGCUUAUUUGAAUGGUGUUUUUGGGGUUAGAAUGCACAAUCACCCAAAAAUCGCAGAGUGACAUGUUUGUUAUCAGCUCAAACCAAGCAUACGUGUUUUGGUUCCAUCUCAAUAGAAAGAGGACGAAUAAGCUUGCAUUGUUCUUUCGGUGUUCAUUCACUCACAAAUAGCAAAGCGAAUUGUAAUAAGCCUAAACAAAGCCAAACAGGUUGUUUUGGGUUGCAGCAACAUAGAAAGAAGAAUCUUGGAUUUUGCUUAUUACGUGUUCUUUGGAGUUAAUGCACAUUCACCCAGAAAUCGCAAAGUGUGUAAUGAGACCAAAACAACACAACACUGUCUUUUCGCUUCCAUAUGCCUAGAAAGAAGACAAAUAAGCUUUGAUUGUGCUUAUUUCAAUUCGCAUGGGGUUUUAUGGGUGUGCACCAGAAUCACUCCCAAGCAAAGUACAGUUUUGGCUUACAUCUACAUAAAAAGAAGAUGAUAAAGCUCUGACUGGGCUUGUUUCAAAUUGGUGUUUUGGGGGUUAGAAUGCACAUUCAGCCAAAAAUCGCAGACAUGUUUAUUAUCAGACCGAUCCAAGCAUAGGUGUUUUUGUUCCAUCUCAAUAGAAAGAGGACGAAUAAGCUUGCAUUGUUCUUUCUGUGUUCGCUCCCCCACAAAUAGCAAUGCAAAGUGUAAUAAGCCUAAAGAAAGCCAAACAGGUUGUUUUGGGUUGCAGCAACAUAGAAAGAAGAAUCUUGGAUUUUGCUUAUUACGUGUUCUUUGGUGUUAAUGCACAUUGACCCAGAAAUCGCAAAGUGUGUGUAAGGAGACCAAAAUAACACAACAUUGUCUUUUCGCUUCCAUAUGCGUAGAAAGAAGACAAAUAAGCUUUGAUUGUGCUUAUUUCAAUUCGCAUGGGGUUUUAUGGGAGUGCACCAGAAUCACCCCCAACCAAAGCAAAAAGGGCUUUUGGGUUCCAGCUACAUAAAAAGAAGAUGAUAAUGCUCUCAUUGGGCUUAUUUCAAAUUGGUGUUUUUGGGGUUAGAAUGCACAAUCACCCAAAAAUCGCAGAGUGACAUGUUUGUUAUCAGCCCAAACCAAGCAUAGGUGUUUUGCUUCCAUCUCAAUAGAAAGAGGACGAAUAAGCUUGCAUUGUUCUUUCGGUGUUCAGUCCCCCCACAAAUAGCAAAGCAAAGUGUAAUAAGCCUAAACAAAGCCAAACAGGUUGUUUUGGGUUGCAGCAACAUAGAAAGAAGAAUCUUGGAUUUUGCUUAUUUCGUGUUCUUUGGUGUUAAUGCUCAUUGACCCAGAAAUCGCAAAGUGUGUGUAAGGAGAACAAAAUCACACAACAUUGUCUUUUCGCUUCCAUAUGCGUAGAAAGAAGACAAAUAAGCUUUGAUUGUGCUUAUUUCAAUUUGCAUGGGGUUUUAUGGGUGUGCACCAGAAUCACCCCCAAUCAAAGCACAAAGGUCUUUUGGGUUCCAACUACAUAAAAAGAAGAAGAUAAAGCUCUGAUUGGGCUUAUUUCAAAUUGGUGUUGUCAGGGGUUCAGGAGCAGAGGCACAGGAAAGGGAGGAAAUAGAGAGCGAGGGGGAGGAGUCCGAAGGAAAUGUUAGCGAUGACAGCGGUCCGAGGUCUCUGAGUCUUUCCAGCGAAUCGGAAGAUUCACAGAAAGGGGCUCCCUUGGUCAGAGCAAGGGAGGUGCCGAGGGGGACACCCCAGGAAGAAGGGGCCAGAGGGGACUCAGAGAGCAGCAGUUGGAAAUCAGGACCAGCGUCCACACCAGAGUGCAGUAGGGGGGAGGAGUCCCAGGCAUCGGGAUCAGGCGGCGCACUGCCAGUGGGAGGACAUGAGUCAGGAUUGGCCACGCCUCCAUCGGGGAGCGAGGAAACGGUCGAGAGGAAGGUUGAAGGCUGGGCGCGCGCGCCAAGUUCAAAUGUACAGGAGGGCGGCGCAGUUGGCAGCCCGGAUAGGGAGCCAGGUCCCAAAGCCCGCCGAAAAGAGGGGGAGGAGUCAGGAGGGUCAGCGUCAGAAGAAUCCAGGAAGGAAGGGACCCCGGGGGGUAGCAGGACCCAGAGGAGAAAGGAGAGACGUAAGAGGUGGAGUAAGGCUAGAAUCUUAAACUGGUGUACAGGGGGCGGAGACUCAGAUGGAGCUUCGCCGAUCUAACCCCUAGACGUAGAGCUGGGGCGCUCCGGCUUGAAAAUGGAAACUGUACUUCAAUAAAGACUUUUGCACAUUACUGCCGGCUAGCGUUGGUCCUCUGUGAGCUGGGACCUGGAGCCAGCUCUGACAGUAAGCUCCAUCUCAUAAAGUUUUGCACCAAAAACCUCGUAACGUGAGUGGACGCAGCGAGGGAAGAAGAUUGGUGCUUUGCGAGCUCACAAAAGUCAGGCAAGAUGACUACAGAACAGCAACUAGCAGCCCUGCAAAAUGCAGUGACACAACUCAACGCGGAGGUACUCGCAUCCAGGAAAAGGGAAGAGGAAGCGGCUGCCGCCUGCAGGGAUCUCCAAGCCAGGUUGGAAGUGCUUGCUAAGCAGGGGCAACCGGGACCCAAAUCAGAGGGGAUUGGGCUGGGGAAAAGAGGAGGCAGCCUGGUAUCUCAUUUCGAUGGGAAUUUGCAGCAGUACCCUAACUUCCGAGCAGACGUGCUGUUUGCGCUGGAACUGCUGGAUAAAGACUUUAGAGAUGAGCAAGAGAAGGUGGGGUUUAUCUUGUCCCAUUUGCAUGGGGAAGCUAAAGCGUGGCUGCGCAAUCUGUGGAGAGAUAAGGAUCCGGCGCUCCAAAAUGCGGAUGCAUUCAUUAAAGCGAUGGAUUCGUGUUUUUUAUCAAAUAUAGACAUUGAUAUCGCCAGAAAAGACAUACAUGGGCUCAAACAAGGCAGAGCCAGUGUAAGGCAGUACCAUUCCCGCUUUUUUGCAUUAGUCCAUGCGCUGGGAUGGGAGAAGGAUUCUGCCCCAGUCAGAGACCUUUUUUGGGAAGGCUUGAAUGCAAAUGUGAAAGAUGAGAUUGCAAGGGGGGAGAGACCAAAGAGCACUCAGGAGGUUGUCCGGCGGGCGCUGCAAAUUGGGGUGCGUCUGGAAGAACGUCCAUGGAACAGAGAAGAAGGACGUUGGGGACGUACGCCAGUGAGAGCACCUCCCCUCUUCCCCAAGGAUACAGCGCGUGUGCAAUCCCCACCUCCGCAAGGAGGGGGAGAGCAACCGAUGGAGAUUGGAGGCGCCAGGGCUCAGUCAACAACCAGAGCCUUAACACCGGGAGCAGUCAAAGCGAAGCCUCCUAGAGGGAACAGGAAGUGCUACAUCUGCGACAGUGCUCAGCACAUGGCGAAAGAGUGUCCCCAGAGGCUCCACAAGCACACUGCAGCCUCAGCAACAGUAACAGAAGCAACUCAGCAGAGAGAAACACAGCAGGGAAACGACAGAGUCUGGUUGGAGGAAGAGGCACUGGGGCCCAACCAGACAAGUCAAUGAAGCCGUCCCCAGAGAUUUUGCAGCCCACAGACCCCUCCCGCCCAAACCAGUGGUGCAGCUCACAGCAUCGCUCCAACUACCCAAUGGACUCACUAUGGAAGUGCCGAUUACCAUUGACUCUGGUAGUAACGCAGACUUCAUAGGACUGGAUUUCCUUCAAGAGCACAACAUAGCACUCCUGCCAGCCACGCUGCCUCUGAAAGUUGUCACGGUGGAUGGCAGGGAAUUGCUGGGGGCAGGUGGUGCAGCAAACGCCUCCGAUGGUGAUGCAAAUUGGGAAUCACCGAGAAGUCAUCAGCUUCAAUGUCACCCAACUGUCGGACACGCCUAUAGUAUUAGGCAUGAGUUGGCUGCACAGGCACAGCCCAGCAUUGGCGUGGUACCAGCGACAACUGACCUUCGGCUCCUCAUACUGUGCGGAACAUUGCAUUCUGCCUAGCCCGGAAGGGGAAGAGGAUGACCCGCAGCUACAAUUAGGCACGCUGCAAGCAGUGCCACUCAAGUACGCAGCGUUUUUGGAGGUUUUCUGCGAGAAGGAAGCGGACAAGCUACCUCCCCACAGGUCUUAUGACUGCAAGAUUGACCUCCUGCCAGGGGCGACGCUGCCAACCGGGAAACUGUAUUCCAUGUCCGAAGACGAGCUGCAGGAACUCAGGGAGUUCAUAGACCUCAACUUGAAGCGCGGUUUCAUCCGGGAGUCGAAGGCAGUGGGGGGCAGUCCUGUAUUCUUUGUGAAGAAGAAGGACACGCCCCAAAAAGGCUUGUGGUGGACUAUAGAAUUUUGAACUCAAAACCAAGCCCACAGCCUUUCCCAUGCCCAAGAUAGAUGACCUGCUCGCAACGGUGAGGAAAGGACGCGUUUUCACAAAGUUGGAUCUGCGAGGGGCGUACAACCUGAUUCGCAUACGGGAGGGCGACGAAUGGAAGACUGCCAUGUUCACGCCCCUGGGCACCUAUGAAUACAGAGUUAUGCCCUUUGGAUUACAAAAUGGCUCCCACUGUUUUCAAGCCUUCAUGCAUCACGUAUUGGCGGGUCUCCUCUACAAGAAAUGCGUCUGCUUCCUGGACGACAUCCUGAUAUUUUCAGAAUCAGAGGAGGCCCACGAGGGAGACGUCAAGGAAGUUCUGCAGAGACUGCAGGAGCACAGGCUGUACGCCAAGCUGGAAAAGUGCCAGUUCGACAUGAAGGAAGUAGAUUUCCUGGGCUACAAGUUGUCGGACAAGGGGCUCGCCAUGGACAGCGCCAAGGUUCGCUCAGUGUUGGACUGGAAGAGCCCGCGCAAUCGGAAGGAGGUCCAACGGUUUGUCGGUUUCGCCAACUUUUACCGCAAGUUCAUCAAGGGGUUCGCGAUGCAGACGGCAGCCAUUACCGACACACUCAGCUCCAAGAAGAAGAAGUUCAUCUGGACGGAGCAAGCGGAACAGUCCUUUCAGAAACUCAAGCCGUCUCUUCUCGUCCGAAGAGCAGCUACUGCAUGUGAAUCCCAGCAGACCGAUGAGGGUUGAAACGGACGCCUCAGACAGAGCCGUGGGAGCAGUACUGUUGCAGCAAGACCCGCAUGGGGACUGGAGACCGUGUGCCUUCUACUCCAGGAAGCUCAGCAAGUCAGAGCAGAACUACACCAUCUGGGACAGGGAGUUGCUGGCCAUUCAUGCAGCAUUCAAGGCGUGGCGGCACUUCCUCAUUGGAGCCAAACACACAGUGCAGGUCCGCACGGACCAUAAAAACCUGGAGUACUGGCGCACGGCAAGGUUCCUGAACCAGAGGCACAUACGAUGGGCGGAGUUCUUUGCGGAUUUCGACUUCAGGAUAGAGUACAUCCCAGGCGACAACAACAUCAUGGCGGAUGCACUGUCCAGAAAGCCGCAAUACCUCGAGGAGGCGGCACCAGCAGCGGCCAAGCACAUUUUCGCACCGAAAGCGUGGGCGUGCGCUUCAGCAACCGUGGACCUGGAUGCUGUACGCCGAGCACUGCAGGAGGACCCCUUCGCGCAAGCAAAGAUGGCAGAGGUGCAAAGGGGCACGGCGGAGGACGACGAGUUCCAGAUACGCGACGGAUUGCUCAUCCGCAGAGGGGCCCUCUACGUACCGGGAGACGACCUCCGCGCGAAAGUACUGCAGCAGUUGCACGACGCACCCACCGCCGGGCACUUUGGCAAAGAGAAGACGGUAGAAUUAGUAGCCAGAGAUUUUUGGUGGCCCAAGAUGCGGGGGGAAGUCGCGGAUUACGUCUCGAGGUGCGACACCUGCCAAAGGGCCAAGUCAGUGCACAAACCGCCGGCGGGACUGCUCGAACCGCUGCAGACACCGAUCGAACCGUGGGAGAGGGUGGCCCUGGACUUUGUCACGGAUCUACCCAGCUCGAGGGGCAAGACGGCAGUGCUAGUGGUGGUGGACAUGUUCACCAAAAUGGCCCACUUCAUUCCGUGCGCGAAGGUGGCCACGGCGGAACAGACCGCCAAACUGUUCAUAGACCACGUGUUCAGGGUUCACGGUCUGCCACGGUCUAUCCUGUCCGACCGGGGGCGACAGUUCAUCUCGAACUUCUGGCAGAAGCUGAUGGGUUUCCUGAACGUCAAGAUCAACCUAGCGUCGGCGAGACACCCGCAGACGAACGGACAAGCGGAGCGAGUCAACGCCAUCAUGCAGCAGUACCUGCGAUGCUACGCAAAUCAGCAGCCGGCAACAUGGGUGGACUACCUGCCGCUCGCUGAGUUCGCCUACAACAACACGAAGCACGUGUCCACGGGGUGACACCGUUCUUCGCCAACAACGGGAGGCAUCCCAGAACCUUCCCGGGAUUAGCGAGAGCGGGGGAGGGGGAGCCACAGGCAGCGGAAGCCUUAGCAUCAGAGUUGCAGGAGGUUCACGAACAGCUUCGGAGGCAGUUAGAACUAGCAAAGCACGCAUACAAACUGCAGGCUGACAAGCACAGAAGGGUUGGGGAAGACAUACAGGUGGGAGACUGGGUUUGGUUAGCAGCCCAGGCAGUGCCGGCCAGAUCGUUAGCGAAGAAGAAGCUAGGGCAUAAGCAGCUAGGACCCUACCAAGUCGAGGCACAGGUCAAUCCAGUGGCCUUCCGGUUGACACUGCCGGAGGGAUCCAGAAUGCACCCAGUUUUCCAUAGAUCAGUGCUCACGCCCUACAAAGCACCUCAUAGAUUUCAGGAGCCAGGAACGGCACCAGACCCGUUCAGGGAAACGCCCACAAGGGGGGGGUCGCCAAGGCGGGAACCCGUCAACGAAGUCACAGAGAUUUUAGACUCGAGAUGGGGGAGGAGGGAGUGGAAUACCUCCUAGCCAAGGAAGGUACCGCGGCUAGGGGCGACAGUUGGGUGCCAGAUUAUGCUCUGGAGGAAUCUUGGCUCAAGGACGAGUUCCAUGCCCUUUUCCCACACAGGCCCAUGCCAGCCGAGUAUUUCGACGACUGGCUUUUCACACCCACAUUUUCAGCUAGCACAUUCCAGGGGUUCACCUCGGACGAGGAACCGGCACUAGAAACACGUUCCCCGGAGGGAUCACCCUCGGGUGCAGCCUCAGACCGUUCCUAUUGGGGGGACAAUCACCCCGCGGAGCAGUGGCGCAGGACGGGGGUGGGGGGUCCUUGGCAGGCACCGUCCCCGGAGGCGACCGGGGGAGAGACGGACAUGGACGUGUUGGGGGAGGACCUUGGGGUCGAGCACGGCGGCAAAGAGAUGGAAGCAGAGGAAAUUGAGGUCGGCGAGAGCACGGAGGACGAGCCGGACUUAUCCGGCUGGAUGCACGCCACGGGGGACGAACUGUAUCCGGCACUCACCCCCACAACGACGGAGCACCCAGUACCCACACCUGAAGGAGGGGAGGGGGAAGGGGGGCUUCGAGGGGGAUGGAUGUCAGGGGUUCAGGAGCAGAGGCACAGGAAAGGGAGGAAAUAGAGAGCGAGGGGGAGGAGUCCGAAGGAAAUGUUAGCGAUGACAGCGGUCCGAGGUCUCUGAGUCUUUCCAGCGAAUCGGAAGAUUCACAGAAAGGGGCUCCCUUGGUCAGAGCAAGGGGGUGCCGAGGGGGACACCCCAGGAAGAAGGGGCCAGAGGGGACUCAGAGAGCAGCAGUUGGAAAUCAGGACCAGCGUCCACACCAGAGUGCAGUAGGGGGGAGGAGUCCCAGGCAUCGGGAUCAGGCGGCGCACUGCCAGUGGGAGGACAUGAGUCAGGAUUGGCCACGCCUCCAUCGGGGAGCGAGGAAACGGUCGAGAGGAAGGUUGAAGGCUGGGCGCGCGCGCCAAGUUCAAAUGUACAGGAGGGCGGCGCAGUUGGCAGCCCGGAUAGGGAGCCAGGUCCCAAAGCCCGCCGAAAAGAGGGGGAGGAGUCAGGAGGGUCAGCGUCAGAAGAAUCCAGGAAGGAAGGGACCCCGGGGGGUAGCAGGACCCAGAGGAGAAAGGAGAGACGUAAGAGGUGGAGUAAGGCUAGAAUCUUAAACUGGUGUACAGGGGCGGAGACUCAGAUGGAGCUUCGCCGAUCUAACCCCUAGACGUAGAGCUGGGGCGCUCCGGCUUGAAAAUGGAAACUGUACUUCAAUAAAGACUUUUGCACAUUACUGCCGGCUAGCGUUGGUCCUCUGUGAGCUGGGACCUGGAGCCAGCUCUGACAGGUGUUUUUGGGGUUAGAAUGCACAUUCACCCAAAAAUCGCAGUGACAUGUUUAUUAUCAGCCCAAACCAAGCAUAGGUGUUUUGGUUCCAUCUCAAUAGAAAGAGGACG